Molecule: ribosomal RNA, 253 nt
Filed under: uncultured bacterium
Lineage: Bacteria
Description: partial 16S ribosomal RNA
Rfam family: Bacterial small subunit ribosomal RNA
Source: RNAcentral
UACGUAGGGUGCAAGCGUUAAUCGGAAUUACUGGGCGUAAAGCGUGCGCAGGCGGUUUUGUAAGUCUGACGUGAAAGCCCCGGGCUCAACCUGGGAAUUGCGUUGGAGACUGCAAGGCUUGAAUCUGGCAGAGGGGGGUAGAAUUCCGAGUGUAGCAGUGAAAUGCGUAGAGAUGUGGAGGAACACCGAUGGCGAAGGCAGCCCCCUGGGUCAAGAUUGACGCUCAUGCACGAAAGCGUGGGGAGCAAACAGG